This 1160-nucleotide small RNA is filed under the name Arabidopsis thaliana (thale cress). RNAcentral's name for it is "ATSL179340". Lineage: Eukaryota; Viridiplantae; Streptophyta; Magnoliopsida; Brassicales; Brassicaceae. The record is from RNAcentral.
UUUAUAUGAAAACCAUAUAAUUUUGAUCAUUAAGAUUAUGGUUAUUAAUUCCAACGAGAUAUUGUAUUUGAUUGAAAAUCAUCUCAUGAAGAAGAUGUUUCCAAGGGGGAGAUUGAAUGAUAUGCGUGGAUGUACCCUUUUUCCUUAUCAUAGUUUUUAUCCCACAUGAUUUUUCUAUGACAAGGUUUUUAACGAGACAUUAAAGAACACGCAAAUAAUACACUUGAUGAAUAUUAAAAAAUUCUAUCAAUCAUCCAAAUGAAUAUUAUACACUAAUGAUAUUUAGAGAAAUAAAUAAGAUGGUCAAGAUGAAUCAUCUAAAAGAUUCAUGAGCAGAAGAAUGGCGUUGUACUUUAUCCAGAAAUUUGUUCAAGAGAAGAUUUGGCAGACUUAUUCUCAAAUACUGUUUAUUCUCUGCCACAUCUUCUAAUCAUGCAGAGAUUUUACCAAUUCAUGAAGCUAGCCGCAAGUGUGUAUGGCUAAGAUCCAUAGUUCACCAUAUACAAGAAGACUGUGGUAUAUAUGCAGGGAAAAAGACUCCAACAAUUAUGUACGAAGACAAUGCAGCAUGCAUCGCACAACUCAAAGACGGAUACAUCAAAGGCGAUAGAACAAAGCACAUCCUACCAAAAUUCUUCUACACACACGAUCUACAAAAGAGCGGCGAUGUACGAGUUCUACAGAUCCGUUCGAAUGAUAAUCUGGCUGACUUAUUCACCAAGGCGCUACCUACUGCUACUUUCAAGAAGUUAGUCUAUCGUAUCGGAUUACGCCGUCUCAAAGAUCUCGACGAAUAUACUCAUAAGGGGGAGUAAUUGUAUGUUGCACUCUUUUUCCCUUAACCAUGGUUUUUCCCAUUGGGUUUUCUUGGUAAGGUUUUUAAUGAGGCAGCAUUUCAAAUACUUUACGAGUUAUGAUACUAUAAUGGUCAUCAGGGAGAGUGUUAUGAAUAAAGAUGGAUGCCCAUUAUAAGGCCCAUCAUCUAAGCCCAUCAUCUAGAUGUUUCUAGGGUUUUACCCUUUCCUUGUACUCCUAUAUAAAGAACCCUUUAUCUCAAUGGAAUAACACACUCAUUUCUUCUAUCUCUUUCUCUGUUUAUAACAUUUCUCAAUUUAUGUGUAAUUUAUCACAAACUUAUUUUGAUUAAUUCACAAUAAUCU